AUGACAUUGUUCACACGGGUGCUAUGAUAAUAAGAUAGUAUUGACUCCUUUUCUAUCUAUAUAAAGAAGGACACCAACCAUUCUGGUUUCCAAAUCUCUCAAUCUAUUGUAGUUCUUAAGCAGAUCGGCAAAAGCUCGAAGAUGAACAACGUAAUUAGCACUGCUGGGCUUGAACUAGCAUAUUUGCUGGUGACUUCUCUCCUGCGCCAGUCAUGGGACGCGAUUCAGAAGCAAAAGAUCCGUACAGCUGCUGAUCCGAAUGCACAAAUGGCCUUAUACGACAUUAGUGAAACCAAGCACCCGAACACCACCAUCAUAUCUUUUCUUACUCCACCCGUCACGCUUCAAGAUCAACAAGCGAUGAUUCCAUCGACAACUCUCAAGGACACAAAUUUUCCUCUCUUUGAGUUUUUGUGCAAUAAAGGCACCCCAAAUUUCUCCGUCAAUGAAUUGGCAAUCAACUUCUUUGCCGUGAA
This is a non-coding RNA of Malus domestica (apple), 476 nucleotides long. Lineage: Eukaryota; Viridiplantae; Streptophyta; Magnoliopsida; Rosales; Rosaceae. The record is from RefSeq and is a predicted model, not a curated record.